UGGCUUAACUGGUAAAGAAUCUGCCUGCAAUGCAGGAGACCUGGGUUCGAUUCCUGG
RNAcentral lists this transfer RNA (57 nucleotides) under Bos taurus (domestic cattle). It matches the Rfam family "tRNA", at positions 8 to 63 of the family's 71-position model. Rfam says of the family: Transfer RNA (tRNA) molecules are approximately 80 nucleotides in length. Their secondary structure includes four short double-helical elements and three loops (D, anti-codon, and T loops). Further hydrogen bonds mediate the characteristic L-shaped molecular structure. tRNAs have two regions of fundamental functional importance: the anti-codon, which is responsible for specific mRNA codon recognition, and the 3' end, to which the tRNAs corresponding amino acid is attached (by aminoacyl-tRNA synthetases). tRNAs cope with the degeneracy of the genetic code in two manners: having more than one tRNA (with a specific anti-codon) for a particular amino acid; and 'wobble' base-pairing, i.e. permitting non-standard base-pairing at the 3rd anti-codon position. The record is from Rfam by way of RNAcentral. Lineage: Eukaryota; Metazoa; Chordata; Mammalia; Artiodactyla; Bovidae. RNAcentral also lists the same sequence under 2 other names.